Neopelma chrysocephalum (saffron-crested tyrant-manakin) is the source of this 248-nucleotide long non-coding RNA. RefSeq lists it as uncharacterized. Lineage: Eukaryota; Metazoa; Chordata; Aves; Passeriformes; Pipridae. The transcript is spliced from 3 exons. The record is from RefSeq and is a predicted model, not a curated record.
GAAAGAAAAGAUAAAGAGCUUAGGUCCAAUGCUAUAAAGUCAAGAAAAUGCUGGCAGAGGAAUGCAAAAGGAAAGUCCCACACAUUGUGUUAAGAUUGGAAAUGCUGAGUCAGAACUAGAGGGGGGAAAAAAAUGUGGAUCAAUAAAUGAUAGAUGGAGGGCAGUCCUAUUAACACCAGGAGCUAUAUGUCAGUCUCUGGAACGGCAUUAAAGGGAAAGCUGAUUCCAGCAGAGAAGCUCCAUCCUGA